AUUGAACGCUGGCGGCAGGCCUAACUCAUGCAAGUCGAACGGUAACAGGAAGACGCUUGCUUCUUUGCUGACGAGUGGCGGACGGGUGAGUAAUGUCUGGGAAACUGCCUGAUGGAGGGGGAUAACUACUGGAAACGGUAGCUAAUACCGCAUAACGUCGCAAGACCAAAGAGGGGGACCUUCGGGCCUCUUGCCAUCGGAUGUGCCCAGAUGGGAUUAGCUAGUAGGUGGGGUAACGGCUCACCUAGGCGACGAUCCCUAGCUGGUCUGAGAGGAUGACCAGCCACACUGGAACUGAGACACGGUCCAGACUCCUACGGGAGGCAGCAGUGGGGAAUAUUGCACAAUGGGCGCAAGCCUGAUGCAGCCAUGCCGCGUGUAUGAAGAAGGCCUUCGGGUUGUAAAGUACUUUCAGCGGGGAGGAAGGGAGUAAAGUUAAUACCUUUGCUCAUUGACGUUACCCGCAGAAGAAGCACCGGCUAACUCCGUG
This 490-nucleotide ribosomal RNA is filed under the name uncultured bacterium. RNAcentral's name for it is "partial 16S ribosomal RNA". It matches the Rfam family "Bacterial small subunit ribosomal RNA", at positions 30 to 507 of the family's 1533-position model. The record is from RNAcentral.